GGGGACGUAGCUCAGAUGGUAGAGCACUUGCUUAGCCUGCGAGAGGUGUGGGGAUUGAUAUUCCGCGCCCUCU
Molecule: non-coding RNA, 73 nt
Organism: Trichonephila inaurata madagascariensis
Lineage: Eukaryota; Metazoa; Arthropoda; Arachnida; Araneae; Nephilidae
Source: the annotation of a GenBank genome assembly